CACCCCUCAAGUCUGACUUGAUGUUGGGCCUUGCCCCUGGGCAUGCCUAAAAAAUAGCGAUGGUACGUCAAACCACGGGCGCAUACAUGUUGCCACGUUGGGGCGAUGGACCAGUCUCGCGAUAAAUUUUCAUG
RNAcentral lists this unclassified non-coding RNA (134 nucleotides) under uncultured Ascomycota. RNAcentral describes it as "sequence contains ITS2". The record is from RNAcentral. Lineage: Eukaryota; Fungi; Ascomycota.